GCGGUGGUAGCUUAGCCCGGUUUAAAGCGCCUCCCUGUCACGGAGGAGAUCGAGGGUUCGAAUCCCUUCCACCGCGCAA
This 79-nucleotide transfer RNA is filed under the name Candidatus Azambacteria bacterium RIFOXYD1_FULL_42_11. Its description in RNAcentral is "tRNA-Asp". It matches the Rfam family "tRNA". Rfam says of the family: Transfer RNA (tRNA) molecules are approximately 80 nucleotides in length. The record is from RNAcentral. Lineage: Bacteria; Candidatus Azamiibacteriota.